Long non-coding RNA from Grus americana (Whooping crane), 2530 nucleotides. RefSeq lists it as uncharacterized. Lineage: Eukaryota; Metazoa; Chordata; Aves; Gruiformes; Gruidae. The record is from RefSeq and is a predicted model, not a curated record. The transcript is spliced from 2 exons.
GCGUGGUCUCUGGGCGGCCUGGGGCCGAGCCUCCGUCCCCCCGCCGGGCCCGCUGCGGGCCGCCCGCCGCUGGGCGGAAGGGAGCUGCGGGGAAAGGCGGCGAGCGAGCGCGGGCCGGGAGCGCCCCGGGCUGGCCGAGGAGCGGCUGGGGGGAGGCGCUCCCGGUGCGAGGCUGCGGGGGUCCGAGCAGCUCUGCAGGGCUGCGGAAGGACGUCGCACCCCAGGAAGGCAAUCAGGCGCGCUUCCCGUGCCCCGAAACACGUAGCGCCUUUAGCGAGCGAGGAGCGCGGCCCUUCCGAGGUUAAUUAGGGAAACGCAAUUACCGCGGUGCGGGUGUCGCCCGAGCUCUGCUGUGCCCGGCAGCCCCGGCCGUCCCGCCUUCGGCGCGGCUGUGCCCGGGCCCUGCGCCCUAGAGCCGGCCGGGGCCCGGAGCUCCGAGGCGAGCGGCCCUGGCUGCAGCAAACCGCUUCGUCCUCUGCUCUUCGACGGCACCGUAGUGAAGCUGGGGCUUCCGCUUCUUCACGUAAAAACAAUUCUCGUUUCAGUGGGAACGAUUUUGAAAUUAUCAUCAUAGAUGAUGGAAGCCCGGACGGGACGCAGGAAAUUGCUGAACAAUUGCAAAAGAUAUAUGGAUCAGAUAAAAUAGUGAGUUGCGUAUUCUGUAUUUCUUUUUUUCCAUUUGUGUCGUACUGGAAAGUACUUGAAGUCCUUAGAGAACUGGAAUGGCGUUCCUGGAUUCUGCACUUUCUUUACAUCCCUAAACAAGUUAUUUAAGUUUUUGCACGCCACUUGAGACAAAUGUAAAAUCGUGAUAUCCCUGCAGCUGCUCAGCAGCAUUCUGAAUAUGUGGAAUCAUGAAUUAAUGUUUGAAAAAUGUUUUCAAUGCUUUGUGCGUGGCUGUGUGCUAUUGAGCAAUGACUAGUGGUUGUUAGUGUACUUUGUGCGUGCCUGAGGGAAAGAUGAGGUUUGGAUAACUCUUAAUUUCAUUGUAACUGACUGCAGGAAGAGGUAAAUUGGGAAGAUGAAAGCGAGUCUGCUCUUGUCAUUUAUUUUUCAUCUGUCUAGUUGCAUUCCUCAAUAACAGGGCUUUUUUUUUUCUAUUUAAUAUAUUAUGGUAUAACCAUCAAUUAUAUACAACAAGAUACUGUCAUUCGUUUAGUCUUUAUGAGCCACUGAAGCCACAUUUUUGGCAAUAAAAGUUUAUCCCGGAACAGUGUAACAACCCAAUGUUCAGUUUGCACUGUAAGCAGUCAGACGCUUUCUUAAUCUAUUACUGUGUAAAUGCAAGGUGUUAAAAAGUAUUUGUGAAUGAAGUGCCACUGAUAGAGAUUGCUUUAACAACAAUGUAUAUAGGAAGCUUUAGAGUCUUUUUUCCUUUUUUUUUUCUUCUUUGUUGAUACCAGUAACAGAAGAGUUUAAAAUAGUUACCCAGCGGUUUGCUCACUGCUUAAGAGUUUCAUUUUGAAGGUUAAUCUGUGGGCCUACCCCUGCAGCAGUGUUAAGCCAAGCACACUUGAGUCAAGUUUCUAUUCAGUACUAAAGCGCUUUGGGAAGCUUGCUAGAACAUUUGCUGUUAGUGUUUGUCAUUCCUUAAAAGUAACGGUGCUGGGGAGACUGUGUUCAGAUUUAUACCUGUCUUUUGGAUAGUGGAAUUUGAGGAAAUCCUUUCGUUACUAAGAUGGUGCUUUUAAUUUUGUUUUCUUUUUUACUUCAGAUCUACUAAGUAAAGCUUAAAAGGAGUUUGUUUUUAAAUAUGACCUGACCAAAUACCUGUUUAAUAUAAUGGUUUGUUUUUCCUGUAUUUUGACAGAUAAAUUUAUUUUUAUAUGUUAUCUAGAUUUCUAAAAAUGAAAAGUACACUUUAAAAAUAUUUUUAUACCCUGAAAAGGUGUCACUAAAAUUAAUUAAAAACUGUACUUCAAGUAAUAUAUGUAUAUUUUAAUAUAUCCUGCAGCUUCUAAGACCCAGAGCAAGAAAGUUGGGCCUUGAGUGAGGAGUCGAAGUUGAAGAAAAAUGUACCAUUUUACAAGAGUAGCUGCUGGUUUUGUGUGGAACCUACUGACCCAGAGGGGACAGCAGAGCUUUCUGUGCAAUCUACCUGCGUGCAGGAUGCUCCAGAAAUUGGACCUUAGUUCGGGCAAUCUCCAGAGAAGGCUGGAUGUUUUCCUGACACGUAUUUGGACAGUGAAAUUCACGUUUCAGUGUGAAUUAUGACUCUAACAAUACGUAUCUGACAGAUGUCCAGCACUGAUUACUAAGUAUUGUCUCACCUAUUAACUAACGUGAAUUGAAGGCUUUGAAGUACAUUGCAGGUGUUACUCGUGUUGCAGAAAUCUCACUCAUUUGGGAGCCAAUCUCGUACCACUGAGAUUGAUCAUUAAACUUUGCAUGGAAUGGUGCAGGACUGCAAUUUUAUAGCUCUGAUGCCAUGUUUCACAGAAUAUGUAAAUCAAGUUUGUCAUUAUUUGCUUUAGAAAAAAAGCAGAUCCCUAGGAAAUCAUAAAUGACAUAUAAAACUUGUAGUAUGGAA